This 2821-nucleotide long non-coding RNA is filed under the name Malus domestica (apple). RNAcentral describes it as "long non-coding RNA (MDOM_LNC020276)". Lineage: Eukaryota; Viridiplantae; Streptophyta; Magnoliopsida; Rosales; Rosaceae. The record is from RNAcentral.
ACAGUAUAGCGUUGGCCGGUGCUCGGUAGUUUCGGGAUUCGUCAAGUAUGGUACAAACAGACUGUAUAAAGAACUUUAUAGACAAAAUUCUUUUAGGGUUUCUUUUGGAGAAAAUUGGAGAGAACAUGUUUCUCCCUUUCUCUCUAGGACGCUGGCCCCCUUAGAGGAGAAUAGCUAGCAAUCUUUCCUCCUCCAAGGUCACUUAUCUCUUCUUCAAGUCCAUCCUUGGUGUGGAAAAUUAGAGGUUCUCAACUCUGGGAACUUGGAGAAUCCUUUCAACCAUCUUCAUCCAAGAAAUCCAUGGAUCUAAGAAGCAAGGAAUGAAGGCCCUCUCCUUGGGUGAUUAGCCUUUGUUUAUGCAAAAAGGAAUCAACAAAGGUAUACGAUUUCUCAACUCACUUUGUUCUUGAGUUGAGUCUUGGUUCACCUUUCUACUAGGCUUUGAAUUUCAUAGGUAAUGUUUUGUUUUUGAGUGCAUACAAGCAUGAUUCCGCCUUUAAUUGCUAAUUGCAUGUCAUAGAUGUUGCUCAAAUGAACAUAUUUUUCACAAAAUUUCCUUCACUGAGGUCCGCGUUACGACUCCUUAGCACGAACAUCGAGAUGUCACGAAUAAUCCUCACCUAGAAUAAUUAUUCAGUCACGUCUCAGAAUUCUUAUCAAUGGAACACAUAACUUACAUAAAACACAUCUCAAUGACGUUCUAGAAUGAUUUGAGACUCAUUGACCAAAAGUCAACCGUCGGUCAUAGAUCAGCGGUCGUGUCCACAACCUUACGUAACUCAAUCUAAAAGAUCCGCAUCUCGGAUUUCCGAUCCGUAACUUCCAAAGAUACAAAUUGUACUUCUAAAACAUCAUACUAAAGUUUCAUUAUGAUCCAACGGUUGGAUCUCCGCCAAUUGCCAAUGAAGGAAAUUUUGUGAAAAACAUGUUCAUUUAAGCAAGAUCUAUGGCAUGCAAUUAACAUUUAAAGGCGGAAUCAUGCUUGUAUGCACUCAAAAACAAAACAUUACCCAUGAAAUUCAAAGCCUAGUAGAAGGGUGAACCAAGACUUAACUCAAAACAAAGUGAGUUGAGAAACUUUAUACCUUUGAAGCACCUCUUUGCUUAGCAAAGGUUAAUCACCCAUGUGAGGGCCUUCUUUCCUUUGUCACCUUACUCCUUGGCUCCAUGGAUGUGGAUGGAGGAACUUUGCUUCUUGGCUCCAUGCCUUCUUGGAUAUGGAUGGAUGAAUUGGUUUCUCCAAAAGUCCCCAAAGUUUGAGACCUCUAAGUUCCGACACCAAAGAUGGUUGAGGAAGAAGAUGAGUGGCCAUGGAAGAGCUAGAUGCUAGUAAACUCUCCCAUGGUGGCCGGCUAUUCUAGAGAGAAAAGAGAGAGAGUUUUUCUCACUUUUCAUCCUUAGAAAACCCUAAUGAGGAUGGAGCAAAGAUACCCCUUCUAUGCUUUCAACUUUUGUAUGCAUUUUGGACCAAAAGGCCCUUCCUCUCUCUAUGGCUGGUUUUCCCAAGCCUUUGGGCUGUUUUGGGCUUCUUGAAUUUUGUUUGUUAAGUUGUCAUACAACUUAAGCUAAUGGGCUUGACGAUUCGAAACCCAAUUUGGGCUUUAAGGCCCAAAACUAACUUAAGGUUUAAAACAAACUUAUUCGUUUGAUUAAUUAACAUAUUAAUUCAUUCUUGCCAUAAACAAUUAAACCAUUUAAUUGUCCUUACUCAUCUCCGUCAAAUCCUUCAAGCAUUACCUUACAUGGUGUGCGAUCCAUUAGGUUCCUUUUAGCGAGGCAGUGGGUGAUUAGAACUCUUUCAAAUCGAUUGUGAAUUGAAACUUACUUUCAAUUCUCCCUUUAGUGAUUAUACACGUUUAGGGCUUCCACAAAUCAUGAGUGACACCUAACAGUAUGUCAUGGUUACCCAAGCUAAUCAGAAGAGGUGGAGAACCUAUUCAGUUUAAGAUUACAAUGCAAUACGGUCUUUCUCUAAUACAAUACUCUUGACCACAUUGUUUGGAUUGAUAGUUUAUUCAUGUGUACUAUCCAAUAUGAUUCAUUUACUUAUAUGAUUACCUUGAAUGUGAUUUGGAACGAAUUCUUAAAUAUCAUUCAUACUCUAGCAAGAGAUUCUUAAUCAUAUCAUAGAGUAUUCUCCCUCAAACGGUUUAAAGGUUAGAGAUCCCUUGUUGCGCAUUCACUUGCCUCCAUGACUAAGUGGCUUAACCCUAACUAUGUUGUGGACACCCUCAAUGGAGUGACUUUGACAUAGUCAAAGAUCAAGGACCUAACCACAAGACAAUUAUGAUGUCUCAGGUCAAAUGACUACUUUGCAUUAUCCUAACCAUGAGUUCUCAUGUGACAUGAGUAUGAAAACUCCUUGUUGAUCGUGUUCAGUGAACUCAUUCUCUUUGAGCACCUACGUACUUGUCUUGGUGUCAGUCACACCAACGACUUGAGACCAGUCACUCUCCCUAAGAGAAGACAUAGCACGUUUGGAUCGUAACGGACUAUCAAUGCCCAAUUGGCAAUCCUAUAAUCAGGAGCGUUUAGGAUAUGUAUACGAAAGAGAAUGGUUUCAUGACUCUAACUUCUUUAUAUUGCAUUCUCCCAAUUACAUAUGUCUUGGACUUAUCGUUUAAGCGUAUAACAUUUAUAUGAGAUGGCUUCAAACAAUAAUCUUUGCCCUUUAAAUUAAACUAUAUUAGUUUAACAUAUGAAAUGUCCGUAAAAUAUUAUCAUAUGGUUGGUUUUAGGGCACAUUUCCAACAGCCAAUUCAAGUGGCGGUCAACGUUUUAUUUUAUGCACUAACAAAUCCAAUUUGGGAAGAUCCGUAUG